This 4141-nucleotide long non-coding RNA is filed under the name Sus scrofa (pig). RNAcentral describes it as "lncRNA (ENSSSCG00055006775.1)". The record is from RNAcentral. Lineage: Eukaryota; Metazoa; Chordata; Mammalia; Artiodactyla; Suidae.
GUGAAGAAAAAGCUCCUUGUAUGGAAAACACAGCAGACUGAAUGUCCGAAGAUCUAGCUCCAGGAUCAAUGCACAUAAUUCAACUGAAGUGAUAACGAUAAAGUCAAGACAAGUUUGCUCAUGCUGAAGCAAUGAAAACAGUAUCAAAACUGACACCUGAGAAAAUACAUAAAGCCUUUGAUGUCUGAUGAAGCAAGCUGCCAUGUUGUGAAAUGUUCUACAGAGACGUCCACAUGGGAGGCAACAGGGGGAAGCCUCCACCAAGAGUUCUCCUGAGUAACCAACAACCACUUGAGUGAGCUUAAAAGUGGACCCCGCAGGGUAACACAGAAGGUGAGAAGACUUGAGAGGAAGGAGUUGGAAGGGUGUCACAGGAUGCCAACAGGCUGAAGGAGGAGUUAUAAAUGGCCUGCUGAAAUAGAGAUGAAUUCGCAUGUCUAGUGGAAGCUGAAAGAGGAAGAGUUCAGCAGAGCACCUCAAAGAGCCCGGAAAAGCAGCCAUGGGGAAAAGGUAACCAUGAGUGAAGAUAUGAUAUGCAAUUUGGAAUUUGCUGCACAGAUGUAUUCAAAAUGCAUGGGCUACUGAAACCCCUUUUAAAAGUGAUCUGAGAAGGGAUGCAGGCUGAUUCCUUUGCUUUGGAAGGAAAUGAAGUGUUUCAUAGAACCAUAGGCCUAAGGUCAGAGACUGAUAAAAGAUCUGAAAACUACAGGUGUCCUCUAUAAACACGGUCACCCAGGCCACCUGUUCCGUGGCAUGGAAGGGUCUAUUAUCAGUGAUGCCUCCCUGCAGGGCUCUCCUUGGCCCUGUCAGGUUCAUCGCCAUUGUCCGAAAUAAGCACGUUAAUCGUUUAGUGAGUACAUAGUUCAGACCCAAUCAUUUGAGGAAAAUUCUCUGGAAAUCGCCACCUUCAAGUCAACAACUGCAACAUUUAAACGAUUCCUAGUAAUAUAAGGACAUGAAGACAGCUCCGCCUCCCUUUGCCUCAGUUUAUUCCCUUCUGCAGCUGGGAGAAAAAUGGUACCCACCUCAGGGCAGUGCUGUGAGGAGGUAAUGAGUUAAGACCAGCAGAGCGCUUAGAAAACAAUACAUAGCAUAUAAUAAGGACUCAGAAGCGUGCACACAGGAUGAAUGAAUAAAAGGUCAGCCAUCAAUCUCUCUGCAGCAGCCUUAGAUGCAGAAUUAAUACCCAGUGCACUGCAGGAUGCCUGGCCUGAACACCACCUGGUGGUGAGGGCGGAGCAGAAUCUGAUUCCCCCCUCAUUGCUGCUAACCAGAAUCACACGCGAGAGAAAUUGGAAGCCCUUCUAAAGAGAAAAGAAAGGCCUUCAGUAACAGCUUCAGUCUCACCUCAUAUCCAAAGCCACCUCUCUGAGCCGUUGCAGUCUCAACGACAGUUGAGAAGCAGUUACGAAGCUUAUCAAAGGAUCACUGCCCUGUCAAUCUAGUUCCCGGCUUACCCUCAUUUUAGGUGUGCGCAUGCUCCGUGGCCUCCAAACGCAAUCACGGGAGAGACACCGGAAGUGCCGAGAAGCCUUGCGAGGAUUCACUCACGCUUUCCCUCGUUGCUCCAGGACAGAAUUAGAUGUGUUGGAUUUUGUUAUACCCUUUCUGCUUGAAGGGACCACACAUCAUAAGCCUGCUCCAGGAGGGCAAACCUGAUAGUCAGCAUGUUCAGCCUGGGGAUAGGAUACUUUGAUUUCUUCAGGACUUCUUCCCAGAAUCUGGAGAUGAAGAUGUGACCACUGGACUCCGCGGUGGACGCUACACUGGAAAGGAGAAGAGGACCAAGCUCUGGGAGCUUCCACCACGCAGCCAACUCCCCCAGCUCUUCUGGCAGUUAACGCAUUUGAACUUCAUGACAGCCAAUCAUUAGAGAAACUUUAGAGUUUGAUGCUAACUUCUAUUUCUGCAUUCUUAAGUUUGGCUUUUAGCUAUUAUGCAGAACACGCGUGGUAAAUCUUUUUAAAAACUAUACAGAGACUAAGUCUGAGGGGGAGGCACCUGGGGAAGGGGUUUGUGUUGGUGCCUGCUGACUCAUGGUGGGGGAGACAUGUGUUUGUCCAUUUUACAGACGAAGGAACUGAAUCUCAGAGAGGCUAAAUGACAUCAGUAGAUCACCCAGACACUACGCUUGCAAGCCAGGGGGAUUAAAAAUACUAUCUGACUUUAAAGUUAAAAGCUCUCCCCAGUCGACUCCACUGACUUCCACCCCAAGGGCAUCUGUGGUUCAUGCAGGAACUAAACAAAAGCAAGAACAGAAAGUGAUUACUGGAGCUCCAAUGCAGGGGUUGGUCAAACAGAAGAACGAAGGCCGGAAGCACCUGGCCUGUGGUUAGGUGGUGUUCUGCUGCUCAUUUCUGAAGCAGAGAGAAGAAUUGCUUGAAUUUUUCUUGUGUCUUUUUUGCCCAGUGUGAAGAUCGAUGGAGGCAGGAGAUAGGCUAGCUACACAGUGGCAAGAGGAAAAAGCAAAGCAAGACUUUAGAAGUGAACCUGGGGGUGUUCUCUGUGCUUCUUCCUUCCAAUUGGAGGACACUGUAGUUCAGCAACAAACAAGGGGAACUCGGAAACUAGGCAAGCAAAAACCCCAAAGCAGAGUCCACAAGAGUCCUGGAGAAGUCUCAGAUGACUCUGGCCAGGUCAGAGAUGGGAGUGUAAACCCCCAAAUCAGGCAGCCUUGGAUGAGGAGCCCUGGCAAGGGAGCCUCUUGCUUCCCAGAGGUAGAGAGUGAGGAGAAUGAGCUGGAAAACAGAUAAUCUGAGCAGAAAAGAGCUUACAGUUAUGAGUUGUUUGUAUACUCAUAUAUCACCUUCAUCUAUGUAUGAUUUUCCUCUGCUAAUUGAAUUUCUUUCUGUAAACUUGCAUUUUUUUUUUUUUUUUUUUUUUUUUUUUUGGCUGUGUCUGGGGCCAGGGAUCAAACAUGUGCUAUAGCAGGCAGUGACCUGAGCUAUAGCAGUGACAACACCAGAUCCUUAACCUACUAAGGCAUCAGGGAAGUCCUAUAAACUUGGAUUUAGAGUGCUGAUAAAAAAAAUUUUCUAAUCCCUGCCUAUCUGGAAAUGGAAGAAAAGAUAAUACACCUGAACUUGAGGCUGGAUAGUGGUUCUCAAUGGUUCACUUGCCCUGGCAUGAUCCAGUAGAGAUGGUACUCAAUACUCUUUGCAAAUGUUGGGGUUUUUUGCCUAGCAUGGGGUCCUGGACAUGUGCCAAGGCCUUUCUCCCCAUGAAGUGGCAGCCUGAGCUGCAGAGGAGACUAAGGCUGCAAAGCUGAUGAGUUAUUUGACUGCUCACAAAAAGUAGAAUGCUACAUAGAUUCAUGGAAUAGACUCAAAAAGUUAUGAAAUGUGCCACAUUCAAAUUCAGAAAAUUUUCUUCCUAAAGAAAAGGGAAUAAGUCAUUAAAGCAGUUUUUUGUUUUUUGUUUGUUUGUAUUGUUUUGUUUUAAAAGAACUCAUAACAAAAAGCCCAGAUGAGAGGCUGGUUUCUUCUUGUAGAUGCUUUUUCUAUUUCUCUGUGUUAUUAGAGGUUAAAGCUGUUAGGUAUGAAAUCUGGCCUACUUCACAAGCUGGAGGUCUUGCCUUAAGGGAUCAUAAUUAUUUUAUUUUAGUUCCAACCUUCUGUGGUAUCAUAGCUACAGUGUAAAAAGGGAAAAUGUCUAUACUUGAGAUUUUUUUUGAUGACAUUAAAAAUAUACAAGGUAUAACCUAUAAAGUACACAAGGUAUGAACUCUAAAAUGUGAGGGGAAAAAGACAUGUCAAAACUAUGGUAAAAUGUAGGGGGGAAAAAAACGAGAAAGUCUUGAUCUUGUGCAGACUGGAAUACCAUUUUCAUUCCUUUACCAUUUCUUCAGAAAGUGUUUUGUUUUGUUUUGUUUUGUUUACUGUUCUUUCAGGUUAUUCAUACAGUCUGUUAAUGUCAAAGCAGUUAAUGUCAAAGCAGGGAAAAACAAUGUUAUAUUGAUAACAUUUCAUCUAUUCAGACCUAUGAUGAGUCUUUGAGCCCAUGGGUCCCACUUUAUGUAACAGAUAUAUUAGGUGAAAAUUUGAAGAAAUUUGGGCACAAUAUUAUAAAUGGGUAAGGAAAUAUCACUAUUUAAAGUAUUUAGUUAUUCAAUGAAUGAUUAGGUGUUUAGUAAAUUAUUUUU